AUACUUACCCAGCAAGGAAGAUACCGUGAUCACAAAGGUGGUGUUCCCAGAAUGAGGCUUAUCCAUUGCACUCUGGAUGUGCUGACCCUUGCGAUUUCCCCAAAUGUGGGAAACUCCACUGCAUCGUUUGUGGUAGGGGGCACUGCGUUUGCGCCCUCCCCUG
Molecule: small nuclear RNA, 163 nt
Organism: Pteronotus mesoamericanus
Lineage: Eukaryota; Metazoa; Chordata; Mammalia; Chiroptera; Mormoopidae
Product: U1 spliceosomal RNA
Exons: 1
Source: RefSeq, a predicted model, not a curated record